RNAcentral lists this ribosomal RNA (364 nucleotides) under uncultured eukaryote. Its description in RNAcentral is "partial 18S ribosomal RNA". It matches the Rfam family "Eukaryotic small subunit ribosomal RNA", at positions 592 to 975 of the family's 1831-position model. The record is from RNAcentral.
CAAUAGCGUAUAUUUAAGUUGUUGCAGUUAAAAAGCUCGUAGUCGGAUUUUGGCUGAGAACGAACGGUCCGCCGUUAGGUGUGCACUGUUUGGUCUCAGCUUCCUGGUGAGGAGGUGUGCUUCACGGCCACUUAGUCACCGUGGUUACUUUGAAAAAAUUAGAGUGUUCAAAGCGGGCUUACGCUUGAAUAUAUUAGCAUGGAAUAACACCAUAGGACUCCUGUCCUAUUUCGUUGGUCUCGGGACGGGAGUAAUGAUUAAGAGGAACAGUUGGGGGCAUUCGUAUUUCAUUGUCAGAGGUGAAAUUCUUGGAUUUAUGAAAGGCGAACUUCUGCGAAAGCAUUUGCCAAGGAUGUUUUCAUUG